GUUUCCCCAUCAUUUUGACCAGUGCAAGCUCUUAUUUUGCAGUAAACUUCUCCCCACAUCCAUUUGUUCUCUCCAACCAUGACUUGCCCCCUUAGCCCUCCAGAUUCUCUCACUCACUUUCUUCCUGAAAGAUCCUUGAUGAACCUCUGUGAACCUCUUGUUGGAGCAAAACUCCUCUCUUUUGGGAGAGUUUCAUGGCUUUCCCCUGCAGUUUAGCUCAGCUUGGCAUUUUAUCCAUGUCAGCCCCCCAGCUCUUACAUCUCCUGCACCCUCCACGUGGCUCAUGGAGCUUCUCAAGACAUCCAAAGGCAUUCAAAAAGCAAGUUGUUUUGGUUUUUUUACAGAAUUGAUGGAAAUGACAUCCAGCUCACAGCUGUUCAUGCAGGGGACAUUUGCAGCCUUGAGCUGGAGGGGUGGGGAAGGUGUUGGGAAACCUGAAUUUUGCCUUCCUUUGCUCCAUGGCAAGAUUUCAUUUCAGCCCUCCUUCAGCAGUGACUGGCUCAGAAAUAAGAAAACUGAGAGUGAAAGCCACAGCAGUCACAGGUUGAGGAGCUGCCUGCUUUUCACACACAGAGCUCUGGGAUCUACCCUGAAAUCCCAGCUGCUGGGGAGUUCCCAGCCCUCCUGGGGAAGGAUUCACAGACUCAACCUUGCCCAGCUCUCAGACCUUCUUGUGCAAUCCAUGUCCCAUCGCAGACACGUCUGGGAGAAAUGCGGAGAUUUCCUGAGAGCGCUGCCAUGGAAAUUCCUGAGAUUUCUGCUGUGGAUGGACACGUAGGGAAGGAGGAGGCAGCCAUUUAGGAGGUGCAUUUUCCACAGAAAUAAAUCCUUUCUGC
RNAcentral lists this long non-coding RNA (836 nucleotides) under Serinus canaria (Common canary). Its description in RNAcentral is "lncRNA (ENSSCAG00000008960.1)". Lineage: Eukaryota; Metazoa; Chordata; Aves; Passeriformes; Fringillidae. The record is from RNAcentral.